Molecule: ribosomal RNA, 301 nt
Filed under: uncultured bacterium
Lineage: Bacteria
Description: partial 16S ribosomal RNA
Rfam family: Bacterial small subunit ribosomal RNA
Source: RNAcentral
CAGUAGCCGCGGGAAUACGUAGGUGGCGAGCGUUGUCCGGAAUUAUUGGGCGUAAAGGGCUCGCAGGCGGUUUCUUAAGUCUGAUGUGAAAGCCCCCGGCUCAACCGGGGAGGGUCAUUGGAAACUGGGAAACUUGAGUGCAGAAGAGGAGAGUGGAAUUCCACGUGUAGCGGUGAAAUGCGUAGAGAUGUGGAGGAACACCAGUGGCGAAGGCGACUCUCUGGUCUGUAACUGACGCUGAGGAGCGAAAGCGUGGGGAGCGAACAGGAUUAGAGACCCCCGUAGUCCCUGUCUCUUAUCA